UCAUACGAUUAAUUUUAGAGCAGCCUGAAUCUGACCAGUGUCAAUUUGUUUUCUCUUCUUUCAGGAGGACUCAGUACAGUGGGACCUGUCCAUCUCGUGAUGCACAGAACUUUUUUCCAUGCUGCUGUGUGGGACUUCUGCCACAACAGGAGGAUGCAAAUAAGAGCCAUGGAGGAAGCAGUAUCUGCUGGAGAAGGAUGUGAGACAGCCUCAGUCAGAAGGGAAAGAAGAAUGCCAAGGGCAGAGGUGAUCAAGUGAGGAGCACUGGUUUGGACACAGAGGAAGGGCAGGCCCCAUGGGGGAUAGGUACGUGGGUGAAGUGCAGGCUGGUGCAACAGUUCUGGGACAGGGGUCUGCACGCAAUCACUGCUGCCAGUGCAGAAGAUAAGAGGGAUAAAACCCUGCAGGGAGGAAGAGAAACACAGCAAGAUCUCGGUGUGGUUCAUUGACAAAAGCAAAAAAACACAUUGUAAGAAGGGGGAUGGCAUUGAUGUGGGGGUGGCAAACAGAGUUCAUCUCAAAGAGCUGCCCCAUUACAACCUUUCCU
RNAcentral lists this long non-coding RNA (547 nucleotides) under Zonotrichia albicollis (white-throated sparrow). RNAcentral's name for it is "lncRNA (ENSZALG00000015876.1)". The record is from RNAcentral. Lineage: Eukaryota; Metazoa; Chordata; Aves; Passeriformes; Passerellidae.